GAUGAACGCUGGCGGCGUGCCUAAUACAUGCAAGUCGAGCGAACAGACGAGGAGCUUGCUCCUCUGACGUUAGCGGCGGACGGGUGAGUAACACGUGGAUAACCUACCUAUAAGACUGGGAUAACUUCGGGAAACCGGAGCUAAUACCGGAUAAUAUAUUGAACCGCAUGGUUCAAUAGUGAAAGACGGUGUUGCUGUCACUUAUAGAUGGAUCCGCGCCGCAUUAGCUAGUUGGUCAGGUAACGGCUUACCAAGGCGACGAUGCGUAGCCGACCUGAGAGGGUGAUCGGCCACACUGGAACUGAGACACGGUCAAGACUCCUACGGGAGGCAGCAGUAGGGAAUCUUACGCAAUGGGCGAAAGCCUGACGGAGCAACGCCGCGUGAGUGAUGAAGGUCUUCGGAUCGUAAAACUCUGUUAUUAGGGAAGAACAAAUGUGUAAGUAACUAUGCACGUCUUGACGGUACCUAAUCAGAAAGCCACGGCUAACUACGUG
This 497-nucleotide ribosomal RNA is filed under the name uncultured bacterium. RNAcentral describes it as "partial 16S ribosomal RNA". It matches the Rfam family "Bacterial small subunit ribosomal RNA", at positions 28 to 507 of the family's 1533-position model. The record is from RNAcentral.